UUGAAGCAGCUUUGUUGUGAUUUGGUGUUGUAUGAAAUAAAUUGAAUCAACUGAAUUUACCCCAGGUGGACUCAAAUUAAGCUGUAGAAACAUCUCAGGGAUGAUCAGUGGCAACAGGAUGCACCAGAGCUCAAUGCGGAGCUCCAUAGCAAAGGCUGCGAAUACUUAUGUACAUGUGAUUACUCAAGUUAUUCUU
Long non-coding RNA from Thalassophryne amazonica, 196 nucleotides. RefSeq lists it as uncharacterized. The transcript has 3 exons. The record is from RefSeq and is a predicted model, not a curated record. Lineage: Eukaryota; Metazoa; Chordata; Actinopteri; Batrachoidiformes; Batrachoididae.